CGGAGCCUGAGGCGCCUGGCGCGGGGCUUGCAAGGAGGCGGCUGGAGCCAUGGCGGAAGCGGCGGCGGAGAAAGCUUACUACAGGUUCCUGGUACUUUUCUUCAAUUGCCUUCUGACCUUUGGCUCUUACUUCUGCUUCGAUAUCCCCAGUGUCUUGCAAGAACAGUUUCAAGGGAACCUGACCUGUCUGAAUGGAACACAUCCCAAUGGCACAGAACAUAAUGGAACAGCCGGAUGUGUGGAAGGCCUGGGGAUGACUCCUGAAGAAUACAACCUUCUGUACGCCAUCUAUGCCUGGACGAACGCCGUGGUGGUGAUCAUGGCAGGCUUCUUGAUUGACAAACUGGGAAAUUGCUUUGGCGUCUUCGUUUUCUCUUUCCUGACCGUGCUGGGGUCAUCUAUUUUUGCUUUGGGCGCUCACUUUAAAGGAACUCCAUACCUUUUGCCAUUGAUGCUGACGGGCAGGUUGCUUUUCGGCUCUGGAAACGGGUCACUCACCAUUGUGCAGAAUCGCAUUACCGCCUUCUGGUUCAAGGGGAAGGAGCUGGCUUUGGCCUUCGGACUGACCCUCUCUUUCUCCCGCCUUGGAAGUGUCCUCAACUUCUUUUUCACCCAGCAGUUUGAAAGCCACUUUGGGAUUCAGUGGACUCUCUGGGGAGGAACCUUUCUCUGCGUGUUGGGCUUUCUUUCGGCUAUCACAGUCAGUAUACUGGACAGAGUUGGCAUGAAGCAGCUUGGCUUGGACGGAGUUAUCCAGCAAGAGUCCAAGAAAGUGCGGGUUCAAGAUGUCAGGCAUUUGCCCCUUCGCUACUGGCUUCUGGUCCUCACCAUCAUGUUCUUCUACAAUGGAGUCUUCCCCUUUGUAGCAGAUGCCAGCAAGUUUAUCCAAGAUAAGUAUCCUGGCUACAGCCAACAGGCAGCCUCUUACGUUGCUGGUGCAGUGUAUGAUAGCUCCCUCGUUCUCUCUGCAGCGGUGGGCAUACUUAUUGACUACGUUGGCCUGAGAGGUGUGUUUGCUCUGGGCUGUGCAGUUCUGACUCUGCCAGUCUUUGCAUUCCUGGCCUUCACCUUUAUUCCCCCGCUUGUCUCCACCGUAUGGCUGGGUAUCACCUAUUCCUUUGCAGCAGCUAGCAUGUGGCCCUCCAUUCCACUCGUGGUCCCCCAGGCGACCUUGGGAACAGCCAUGGGGCUGGCAACGUCCAUACAGAUGAUUGGAAUCGGCCUCUCCAACGUGAUCGUUGGACGGAUCCUGGGAACAAAGUCCAGUGGAUCACAGAUCCCACUAUGGCGCUGGCAACAGAUGAUGAUCUUCAUGUUGGCCAACACAGUCGCUUGUAUCGUCACCUCUGUCAGCCUCAACAUAGUAGACAAGAAGCGGGGAGGAACGUUAAACCGUAUGACAAAGCGUUCGAUGCCAGAGUCGCCGGCCAGGCAGCCUGGGGAUUCAGCCCCACUCCUCAAUGAGGGAGAAGAUGAAGGAUCCAUCAACUAGGAACACAGACAAAGCACCAGUAGACCAUCACCUUCUAAACCAAUGCCUCUGGAUUUCUCUACCGCCCUACCACUUCCCGAUAUUUUAUGAGGGAAUCUCAGCAAAACAGAAAUCAUAUGACUGCCAGCUACCAGGCCAGAGGUACUAUGAUAGCAGAAAAGAAAAAAACAAGAAAACACCAAAUAUACCAAGAUGAAAGAAAACAGUCCCCUGCCCUUUUCCAAUAAAUAACACACCAGUGCAAAGCAAAAGGUAUCAUAUAGCCAGAAACCUACUUAGAUUGACCUCGGCAGCAAGCCCUAUUACCACCCUUCUGGUAUGCAAAGAAAACCUACCAGAAAAGAGUCAGCCUGAAGUGGGGAGGAUCGCCAAAGUCAUCUUUUCCCCUGCUGUGAGGCUAGCAAACAAUCCCUCCUUUCUUUUGACUUGGAGGUGUGGUGGGAAUUGCAGUCUGACAGUGUGCUAAAGUCCAUUGACGAGGCCCAAAACUCAUGUAGCUUGGUGCUGUUACUUUAUACUAGACAAGAAAGCAUGCAGGGACACCUUGGGGUAAAAAGCUAACAUCUCUCCUCUCCUGUAUCCUCUGCACAGGAAGCAAGACAUACAUGCACGCUCCCCUCCCCCAGUUCUGUGCAAUGCACAGACUUGGGGAAGUGAAAUCUUGACUUCUGUUUGUUCACAAAUGCCCUUUCUGGCAAGAGAUUCUUCCUUAUCUGCCGUGGCCUAGCAACAGCAUUUGAGGGGCCUUAUCUGUAAUUCUAUGUACUUGUGGUCCUGAACAGUGUGUUCCUCAAGAAGGUAAGACCAUUAAUUCCCCUUCAUCAGUAUCACACACAUGUACAUCUGUUUAUGAACUGGAAUGCUACUUACCAUAUGGGAACAUACUGCACA
RNA transcript from Eublepharis macularius, 2383 nucleotides. It is a transcript of the gene named major facilitator superfamily domain-containing protein 1-like, with no coding region annotated. The record is from RefSeq and is a predicted model, not a curated record. The transcript has 14 exons. Lineage: Eukaryota; Metazoa; Chordata; Lepidosauria; Squamata; Eublepharidae.